ACACACACGCACACACACAGAACACGACGCGUCGAUUUCCUUCGCUCCUCUUCCAGCUGUUUUCCGUGCAGCCGAUUGGGGUUUUGGGCGCUCGGAGCAGCAUCUGAGAGGGCUCACUCUGAUCAUCAGCUGCACGUUAAGCCACAAACCGGCGUCGCUUCGGCGUUCCGGAACCCAGGCCUGGGGGCCGCGGGGAUUGCCUCUGCGUGCAACUCCGGAAAGUUUCAAGGGGUCCCCCGACUGCACAGGUCCGGAAAUCGGCUUUGAUAUGGAACUACUCCGCUCUAGCCUGGAAAGGAGACCCGCGCACUCCUCUCGCAGCUAAUUUCGGAUCAUUAAUUUAAUCGGAAAUGAGGUAACCAGUGUAGGAGACAGAGAAAGCAACCGGAGCAUCAAAUGGCAGUUCUCGAGAAUCGACGAGGAACUUAAAUCUGGACUCAGGGUUUCAGUGCGGUCUCCGACUCCCACCACCCCGCCCCUCCGCCUGUCUCGCCGCCAGGUGUGACCUCCACGCGAAGGAAUCUUCUUCGGAUGGGUGCACCUUGCCAA
This 549-nucleotide long non-coding RNA is filed under the name Homo sapiens (human). RNAcentral describes it as "non-protein coding lnc-STMND1-4:1". Lineage: Eukaryota; Metazoa; Chordata; Mammalia; Primates; Hominidae. The record is from RNAcentral.